RNAcentral lists this ribosomal RNA (253 nucleotides) under uncultured bacterium. RNAcentral's name for it is "partial 16S ribosomal RNA". It matches the Rfam family "Bacterial small subunit ribosomal RNA", at positions 524 to 776 of the family's 1533-position model. The record is from RNAcentral.
UACGUAGGGUGCAAGCGUUGUCCGGAAUUAUUGGGCGUAAAGAGCUCGUAGGCGGUCUGUCGCGUCGGCUGUGAAAACUCGGGGCUCAACUCCGAGCUUGCAGCCGAUACGGGCAGGCUAGAGUUCGGUAGGGGAGACUGGAAUUCCUGGUGUAGCGGUGAAAUGCGCAGAUAUCGGGAAGAACACCCGUGGCGAAGGCGGCACUCUGGGACGGUACUGACGCUGAGACGCGAAAGCGUGGGGAGCGAACAGG